Molecule: long non-coding RNA, 2414 nt
Organism: Cyanistes caeruleus (blue tit)
Lineage: Eukaryota; Metazoa; Chordata; Aves; Passeriformes; Paridae
Source: RefSeq, a predicted model, not a curated record
CACUGACAUAAGAAAUGCUGCAGCUGCAUUUCAAAAUCGCAGCUGACCCUCAGCAUCAGGGUAGGGCAAGUCCUUGUGUGCUCUGCUCUGAUCCCCAGGGGAGAAGGGGAGCUCGAGGGAGGCAGGAGGGCAUUGCUCAGCCCCAGUGGCCUCCUGUUAGCAUCAGGAUGAUGGUGGGAGAGAGCUGCCUGUCCAUCCAUCCAUCCAUCCAUCCAUCCAUCCAUCCAUCCAUCCGCCCAGUGCCCAGGCCAUGCAGUGCUGCCAGCCUCCAUCCCCAUGCCUGGGGCAGGCAGCACCCUUCUGUCAGUCCCCACAAGGCACAGGUGCUGAGGAUCUGCUCCAAAAAUCCUCCACCACAGGAAGAAUCACUGUUUGAUGGAGCCCCACUGCUCCUCCCUCCCCUCACUACCGAGCUUAAGCCUCUUCUUCAGCUUCUAGCUAAGUUGAUUAAUGGAAAUAAUUGGUCUCUUUGUGCAUCUGGAGACAGUUGCCGUGACAGCAGUUGUAUUUUUGUUUUGUUCCCAGGUCGAGCUUGUUUUUCCCAUCUCUCAGCUCCAAGGUGCUAAUGAACCAGGGCACUCUGGUUUGCCCCCAGCUCUGACAGACACACAUCCCUGUGAGGGAUGGCUGACAGCAGGGACAAGGCUCAGCCCCAGCAGGCCCUCAGGACAUGGCAGGCUGACACCUUUCUCCCUGCCCAUUUUUUACCCCCUCAAGGCAGGUUCUCACUGGAUGGACACAGCUCUGGGGCAGAGGGAAGAGAGCCAAAUCCCUGCUGUUCACCCAGAGCAGCCAUGGGCACCCACAGGACCCCCUGUCCCCUGCAGGGACCCUUUCAAAGCCUUUAGGAGUCUCUAUGAGUCUCUUCUCCAUUACUUUUAUUUUCUCACAACUUUUUACUUAGUUGUCUUUAUGUGUCAACAUAUUUUUUCACAAACAACUGUGUGGAAGAUCUGCUAGUGCCUGAAGUUACAAAGCAGACAAAGCACAGAGCAGUGACCCUUCAGCUACAGAAGUCCCAGAGCUGCUGUGGCAGGCACAUGCCACGGAUGGUAUGUGUGUUGUGAUACGUGGUCACCCUAUCACACCCGGGCCAUGGGGUAAACCCCUGUGCAAUGGGGAUCCCCUUCUGGCCUGGGUUCCUGCCUUCCUCCAGAUUGUUCUUGAAGAAAAGUCCAAUUGGAUCCCACCUCAAAGGCUGGAGAAUCCCCUGUAGCCCCACAGCUCAGAAGAGCUGAUCACACUGAGGCACUGACCUCUGAGUGAACAUCACCUUCUAAAACCCCACUUGAAUUCCUGGCCCAGGGAUGCUCCACCCCAGCACAAGCUCCCCAGUACCUUGCAGGCUUCCCUGGGCAAGGACAAGUCAAACAAGCACUGAGGAGAUGCAGCUGGGGCUGUUUUCUAGCACAGCUGCCCUUGUCACACAUAAGAGGAAGGCAAAGCCACAGCAGCCUUUGGUGGUUUCUGGGUUGAGGGAGACCUUUCUACAAGGACAGAGGUGACAGCAGCUCCUGAUCCUUCCUGCAGGAAGGGUAAAUCUUUCUGCCUAAGUCCCCAGGGAUGUGACAUCUAAACCUGGGCUGAAGUGGUGCUUGAGACGUGCCUGCAGCACUGGGAAUGCUCAGUGAUUGUUGCCAGCUGCAGUCUCAGGAAAGGGAAAGCUCCUAAUAAAAUCAAUUGCCAAGUAUUUCAUGGUUUGCUGAAGCGCAGCCUGGGCAUAGAAGGACAUGGGGUGUCUCCAGCAUACGUAGGGAAAAUGCUGGAUGCAAGAGAUGAGGUGCUCUGAGAGAACUGUGAGAGGAGGGAUGUCUGUGUGCACCAAAGAGUCCUGAGAUCCUGCACUGCACAGCUCACACAAAACAACUCUGGAAGCUCUGUGCAAGGGACAGCACAGGAACAAGGGAAAGCAGUGACCUGAUCUGAGGACAGAGGGGCUGCUCUGAGUGCAGGAGCCACAAGUGAAGCCACAGAGAGGAUUUGCCAUUUCUGCAGGAGCCAUGAAGGGUUGAGCUUUGGAGGUUCCCUGGAUCUUGCUGGGCUGACUCUACAUGCAGAACAGAACUCUUACAUUGUUCUGUAGAGGCAAACAGCAUUCCUGCAUGUGGGCAGCCUUCAGCAGGAUUUGCACAGCACGUGGCCAGGGAGAGGCCGUGGGGCACAGCUGGCACUGGGGCUGCUUGGAGCCACAGCUGCAAUGUGGCUUGCUACAAGGACAUGGCUGUGGGUAUGGAUAAUACAGCAGGAAAGUCAUUAUGGUGGAAUUGUUGGUAUUAUUUCUCCUCUCAGCAGCCUUCUAGCAUCUAGUAAUUCAUAGAAUACAGAGGGAGGUCAAGUGACUCGAUGCUACAGGAAGGAAAAAACCCAUUUCUGUUUGCAAUAUUUCCCUGUGAAUAAAAGCUUUAUCAGCCAUA